This 3359-nucleotide ribosomal RNA is filed under the name bioreactor sludge metagenome. RNAcentral's name for it is "eukaryotic LSU rRNA". It matches the Rfam family "Eukaryotic large subunit ribosomal RNA", at positions 1 to 2896 of the family's 3401-position model. The record is from RNAcentral.
UCGAAGAUCUCAAAUAUGUGAGAUUACCUGCUGAACUUAAGCAUAUCAAUAAGCAGAGGAAAAGAAACUAACAAGGAUUUCCCCAGUAACGGCGAGUGAAGCGGAAAGAGCUCAAGAUAAGAAUUCCCACCGUGUUAACUCACGUGGGAAAUUGUGAUCUUGUGAUCCAGUACUAGGUUUUGAUUGCAGUGAAUAGAAGUUCGUUGGAACACGACGCCGUAGAAGGUAAAAGCCCUGUUUCGGAUUCACUAUGUACAAUAAUCAGCCAUACAGUCUGGAUUCAUCGAGUCGUGUUGCUUGGGAGUGCAGCACAAAUUGGGAGGUACAGAUCUUCUAAAGCUAAAUACCGGCGAGAGACCGAUAGCGAACAAGUACCGUGAGGGAAAGAUGAAAAGCACCUGGAAACGGGAGUGAAAUCAGAGCUUGAAAUUGUUAAGAGGCAAAAGCUGGGGAGACUUUUCUAAUUAUUUAUUUAAUGAUGCUUUGUAAGUCGAUGCUGAAAGGUUUACGAUCUUACGAUAUAAAGCCGUCAACGCAGUUUAUCUGAUUACGAGAUAUCGAUAGUAGCCCAAGGUUGUUUGCAUCCCCGCGACAAGCGGCGUGAUGUACAUCUUAACGCAUAUAAGGGCUAUUAUCACACAAGGUGUCUGGGGAUGAACUGUCCGGAUAAAACCGGAUAGUAUAAUACUACUGCUGGGCCGUGCUGUUGCAAUGCGGCGUGUAGAGAAUUCGUUCUAUGCGCGCCGCACUGCGAUAUUCCGCGUUUGCCCACUGAGGUUUAAAAACUAGUUGACGAAUUAUAAAGGCCCUCAACUACCCGUCUUGAAACACGGACCAAGGAGUCUAACAUCUAUGCAAGUAUUAUAGUACAUCAGUCGAAACUAUAAAUGCGCAGUGAAAGCGAAGGCUAAUGUAGAUUAGCUGUAGUGUGAUUUGUUGUAGUCCGCCUUAAACAAGCGGAGCAGCAAUGCAACACUAACCGAUCGUGUUAAAUCUCCCUCAGCAAUGAGGUGAUCCGAUUUGAGUUAGAGCAUAAUCGUUAGGACCCGAAAUCUUGUGAUCUAUUCCCGAACGACGGUGAAGGCAGUUGAAAAAUUGUUGGAGGCCGGGCAACAGUACUAACGUGCAAAUUGUUUGUUUGAUUUGGGACUAGGGGCGAAAGACUAAUCGAACAAGGUAGUAGCUGGUUCCCCCCGAAGUGUUCCUUCGAACAGCUGGCGUGAUGAAAUAUAAAUCCAGUUUUGCCUGGUAAAGCGAAUGAUUAGGCAUUUUGGGAGUUCUUUAUGCUCCUGGGUGCAUUCUCAAACUUUUAAUGGGCAAGAUAUGUAGUCGUUGCAUAAUCCAAUCAUGGAACCUACAUUGUUAACAGAAUGGAAAGCGCUUAGUGGGCCACUUUUGGUAAGCAGAAUUGGCGAUUCGGAUUGAACCGGACGCGUGAGUUAAGGUAUCAAAUUUCUCAUUCAUCUAGAUACUGCAAAAGGUGUUACUCAAUUUUGACAGCAGGACUGUGGUCAUGGAAGUCGAAAUCAGCUAAGAAGUGUGUAAAAACUUACCUGCUUAAUUGAGUAGUCCUGAAAAUGGAAGAUGCUAAAAUGAGAGACCUAUACUCGGCCAUUAUAUAAGCAAUUGUGAAACAAGAGAAGUAUAUAAUGUGUAGGGGGGCGUGGAGAUUCAUUACAAACAUGAUGUCGCGAAGUAUUUACCGUGAGGUAAAACGGAACAAUCUCCAGUGCAGAUCUUGGUGGGAGUAGCAAUGAUUCAAAUGUGAGCCUUUGAAGACUGAAGUGGGGAAAGGUUCCUCGGGAAACGCAUUGUACCGAGGUUUAGUCGAUCCUAACUAUUAAGUUCUAAUCUGAUUUUGAAACGCUGUACGCUGAAGAGUGGUUGGGGUUACGACCUCUUGAUCACAGCCCUGUGUACAAUAUAGGAAAGGGAAUCAGGUUAAUAUUCCUGAACCUUGAAGUGCUUGAAUUACUUUGACCUCUGUUUGUCAAACGCUAAUCGGUAACGAAAGAGACGUCCAAGCCACCAGCGCGAUACCCUGAGAGAGAUCUCUCUUCUUUAUUAACAGCUCUCGACUCCGAUGCGUUCGGGGUGUUAUUUAAUUGGUCAAACAAUUGGAUAGAGACACUGCGGAAAUACCUUGCGUAGAGAAGCAGUUGCUCGGCUGGAAAAGCACUUUCAUUUUUGAUCUGACAAUAUAUUAGAUUCAAGCUAUUGUGAUGAACUUCCCCUAGUUUAUAGUGAAUCGGUGUCGGGUGCUAUCGCAAUGGUACUUAAAAAUUGGACUGAUUGUCUGUGCCAAGUCACUUCAGGUCGUACUCAUAUCCGCAUCAGGUCUCCAAGGUGAACAGCCUCUAGUUUUUGGGUGUAUGCAGGUAAGGGAAGUCGGCAAAUUAGAUCCGUAACUUUGGAAAAAGGAUUGGCUCAAAGGGUAACGGGGGAUUUAAUUAGGUGUGGUGAGUUUGACUACGAAUGGGCAGUGUUGGUUCGCCGCGCUGCACUAAUCACACCCGAUGCCCUCGAUUUAUUACUAACUUUGAACUGAAACGGACAAGAAGAAUCCGACUGUUUAAUAAAAACAUAGCAUUGUGAUGGGGAGAAAGUCCUGUUCACACAAUGUGAUUUCUGCCCAGUGCUUCGAAUAUCAACAUGGAGAAAUUCAAACAAGUGCAGGUAAACGGCGGGAGUAACUAUGACUCUCUUAAGGUAGCCAAAUGCCUAGUCAUUUAAUUUGUGACGCGCAUGAAUGGAGCAACGUGAUUCUUACUGUCCCUAUCUGCGACUCAGCGAAACCACUGCCAAGGGAACGGGCUUGGGGAUGACAAAGGGGAAAUGAGUCCCAAUGUGCUUGACUUCAUUCAGACUUUGCGAAUUGACUCGAUUGGUGUAGAAUAUGUGGGAGAGGCAACUCGAUCGUGAAAUACCACAACUUUUGACGUUAAUUUGCUCACUUUAUUAUUAUGUUGUACACCGCAGCGAUGCGGGGUGCUAUGUAUUUACGUGGUAAGUCCGCGGCGGCAACGUCGGGGGCGAACAUGUUGGUAUAAAGGACCAAGUCUGGUGGGAAGUUUGGCUGGGGCGGCACAUCUGUUAAACAAUAACGCAGGUGUCCUAUGGCGAGCUCAGACAGAACGGAAAUCUGUCGUCGAACAAAAGGGUAAAAGCUCGCUUAAUGAUGAUUUUCAGUACGAAUACUCAUUGAGAAAUCAUGGCCUAUCGAUCCUUUCAUUGAAUUUAUCUUCUAUGAUCUGUAUAGUGAGAGGUGUCAGAAAAGUUACCACAGGGAUAACUGGCUUGUGGCGGCCAAGAGUUCAUAUCGACGUUGCUUUUUGAUUCUUCGAUGUCGGCUCUUCCUA